Dendroctonus ponderosae (mountain pine beetle) is the source of this 368-nucleotide long non-coding RNA. RefSeq lists it as uncharacterized. The record is from RefSeq and is a predicted model, not a curated record. Lineage: Eukaryota; Metazoa; Arthropoda; Insecta; Coleoptera; Curculionidae. The transcript is spliced from 2 exons.
GUUACCAAAAUGUUGUUUUGUUAAAUAGUAUGUUCUGUACCGUUAUACAAUGAAGCCGUUUUCACGUAAAAUACAUUGGCUAAGAGUCAAAGGAUAUAUCAAUCGUUAUGCUACAAAAGAGCACAUACAAAGCUUUAAGAAUGUCUCACUCACAACGAUUAGCUUUCUGGCAGGAUUUUUCUUUUACCAAAAGAUAAUAAAAGAUCUAAUCUUAGAGAAAGAGUAUGAUUGUCGAUGUGGAUCAAACCCAAAGGCUCAACAACGAAUUUCCAAAAAAGUAAUCAAAAAGGAAAGUUAUGAAACCCAAAGUUCACCCAAGUAAAUGUUUAAACUUGCCCCGUCGUAUAUUAAAUUUGUCUCCAUUUGCC